RNAcentral lists this ribosomal RNA (457 nucleotides) under uncultured Streptococcus sp. RNAcentral's name for it is "bacterial SSU rRNA". It matches the Rfam family "Bacterial small subunit ribosomal RNA", at positions 923 to 1382 of the family's 1533-position model. The record is from RNAcentral. Lineage: Bacteria; Bacillati; Bacillota; Bacilli; Lactobacillales; Streptococcaceae.
GCACAAGCGGUGAGGAUGUGGUUUAAUUCGAAGCAACGCGAAGAACCUUACCAGGUCUUGACAUCCGAUGCUUAUUUCUAGAGAUAGAAAGUUACUUCGGUACAUCGGUGACAGGUGGUGCAUGGUUGUCGUCAGCUCGUGUCGUGAGAUGUUGGGUUAAGUCCCGCAACGAGCGCAACCCCUAUUGUUAGUUGCCAUCAUUCAGUUGGGCACUCUAGCGAGACUGCCGGUAAUAAACCGGAGGAAGGUGGGGAUGACGUCAAAUCAUCAUGCCCCUUAUGACCUGGGCUACACACGUGCUACAAUGGUUGGUACAACGAGUUGCGAGUCGGUGACGGCGAGCUAAUCUCUUAAAGCCAAUCUCAGUUCGGAUUGUAGGCUGCAACUCGCCUACAUGAAGUCGGAAUCGCUAGUAAUCGCGGAUCAGCACGCCGCGGUGAAUACGUUCCCGGGCCUU